AUUGAACGCUGGCGGCAUGCCUUACACAUGCAAGUCGAACGGCAGCACGGGGCAACCUGGUGGCGAGUGGCGAACGGGUGAGUAAUGCAUCGGAACGUGCCAUUGAGUGGGGGAUAACGUAGCGAAAGUUGCGCUAAUACCGCAUAUUCUGUGAGCAGGAAAGCAGGGGACCGCAAGGCCUUGCGCUCUUUGAGCGGCCGAUGUCAGAUUAGCUAGUUGGUGAGGUAAAGGCUUACCAAGGCGACGAUCUGUAGCGGGUCUGAGAGGAUGAUCCGCCACACUGGAACUGAGACACGGUCCAGACUCCUACGGGAGGCAGCAGUGGGGAAUUUUGGACAAUGGGCGCAAGCCUGAUCCAGCCAUGCCGCGUGCAGGAUGAAGGCCUUCGGGUUGUAAGCUCUUUCUAGCCGGGAAGAAACGCACGCUCUAACAUAAGCGUGUGGAUGACGGUACCGGACCAACGAAGCACCGGCUAACUACCGG
This 483-nucleotide ribosomal RNA is filed under the name uncultured bacterium. RNAcentral describes it as "bacterial SSU rRNA". It matches the Rfam family "Bacterial small subunit ribosomal RNA", at positions 30 to 507 of the family's 1533-position model. The record is from RNAcentral.